UAGGGAAUCUUCGGCAAUGGGGGCAACCCUGACCGAGCAACGCCGCGUGAGUGAAGAAGGUUUUCGGAUCGUAAAGCUCUGUUGUAAGAGAAGAACGUGUGUGAGAGUGGAAAGUUCACACAGUGACGGUAACUUACCAGAAAGGGACGGCUAACUACGUGCCAGCAGCCGCGGUAAUACGUAGGUCCCGAGCGUUGUCCGGAUUUAUUGGGCGUAAAGCGAGCGCAGGCGGUUUAAUAAGUCUGAAGUUAAAGGCAGUGGCUUAACCAUUGUUCGCUUUGGAAACUGUUAAACUUGAGUGCAGAAGGGGAGAGUGGAAUUCCAUGUGUAGCGGUGAAAUGCGUAGAUAUAUGGAGGAACAACGGUGGCGAAAGCGGCUCUCUGGUCUGUAACUGACGAUGAGGCUCGAAAGCGUGGGGAGCAAACAGG
RNAcentral lists this ribosomal RNA (429 nucleotides) under bacterium. RNAcentral's name for it is "partial 16S ribosomal RNA". It matches the Rfam family "Bacterial small subunit ribosomal RNA", at positions 355 to 776 of the family's 1533-position model. The record is from RNAcentral.